Molecule: small nuclear RNA, 153 nt
Organism: Pongo abelii (Sumatran orangutan)
Lineage: Eukaryota; Metazoa; Chordata; Mammalia; Primates; Hominidae
Gene: U1
Rfam family: U1 spliceosomal RNA
About the family: U1 is a small nuclear RNA (snRNA) component of the spliceosome (involved in pre-mRNA splicing). Its 5' end forms complementary base pairs with the 5' splice junction, thus defining the 5' donor site of an intron.
Source: Ensembl
AUACUUACCUAGCAGGGGAGAUACCAUGAUCACAAAGGUGGUUUUCCCAGGGCAAGACUCAUCCAUUGCACUCCAGAUGUGACCCCUAUGAUUUCCCCAAAUGUGAGAAACUUGACUGCAUAAUUUGUGGUUAUAAUUUUUUAAUUAAAAAAU